CCGUCAAUGGGCGAAAGCCUGACGGAGCAAGACCGCGUGGGGGAAGAAGGUCUGUGGAUUGUAAACCCCUUUGACAGGGAAGAAGCUCUGACGGUACCUGUCGAAUCAGCCUCGGCUAACUCCGUGCCAGCAGCCGCGGUAAUACAGAGGCCUCAAGCGUUGUUCGGAAUCACUGGGCGUAAAGGGUGCGUAGGCGGCGCGGAAAGUCAGGGGUGAAAUCCCGGAGCUCAACUCCGGAACUGCCUUUGAUACUCCCGCGCUUGAGAACUGGAGGGGAGAUCGGAAUUCACGGUGGAGCAGUGAAAUGCGUGGAUAUCGUGAGGAACACUAGUGGCGAAGGCGGAUCUCUGGACAGUAUCUGACGCUGAGGCACGAAGGCCAGGGGAGCGAACGGGAUUAGAUACCCCGGUAGUCCUGGCAGUAAACGGUGCACGCUUGGUAUGGGGGGAAUCGACCCCUCCCGUGCCGGAGCUAACGCGUUAAGCGUGCCGCCUGGGAAGUACGGUCGCAAGAUUA
Molecule: ribosomal RNA, 516 nt
Filed under: uncultured Verrucomicrobiota bacterium
Lineage: Bacteria; Pseudomonadati; Verrucomicrobiota
Description: bacterial SSU rRNA
Rfam family: Bacterial small subunit ribosomal RNA
Source: RNAcentral